This is a long non-coding RNA of Tympanuchus pallidicinctus (lesser prairie-chicken), 5810 nucleotides long. RefSeq lists it as uncharacterized. NCBI's taxonomy places the organism in Eukaryota, Metazoa, Chordata, Aves, Galliformes, Phasianidae. The record is from RefSeq and is a predicted model, not a curated record. The transcript has 7 exons.
GAGAAAACUAAGUGGGUUUUUGUGUGUGGGUAAAGUAAAUAUGGUUGGAAAGACAUGACUUGUUAAGAGCUUUUUUGAGGACCCCACACUCACAAAAUCCUUUAGGUCAUGUGUUUGCUUUCUGAAACAUUUGGUAAGUAAUAAGUGCCAAGGGACUAUAUGCACUCCAUCUGGAAUUAGCAGAUUCCUCUUUGUUCAAUUGUUCCUAAAUUUGGAACCAGCUGACUUGCUUAAAAGUAUUUUGAUUUUCUUUUAAAUAAAUAUGGGAAAUAAACAUAGCCCAGGACCUUCAGAGAGGUGCGUUAUUAGUCUUUUCCCUGGCUCCACGAGCCACACAAGUCUUAAAGAGGCAUUUGCCAAUUUUGAUGCUUGCUCUUUGUUUAUGCUAACAAUUUAUUUGGAGUGGCCCAUCGUUUUUGCUUCCCUUUUAUAAAUAGUAUCAAAGAAAUCAGGGACGGAAAAAGAACUAUUAGGUCAUCAAACCCGCUCUACUGCCAGCGUAGGCUUGUUCCUCACAGUGUAUUUUUUUCCAUUUAUUUGUCCAGGUUAAACUUGGAAUUAAGUGUAAGGUCUGUAGGUCUGGUGAGAGGUACAAGAACAAGUGGAGAUUUUACUCUUUUCUCCUCUCUUUACUACACAAGAUAUCUUAUUUCCAUUCCCACCUUUCCUUCAGAAACAAGUGUAAUGUCAAAAGAUCAAGUAGAUGCUUUCUCUUUGCAGGUGUUGUAGAUAACUGCUUCAUUCCUGUAAAAAUUUAAUUUUUGCUUGGGGAAAGCAAAAAAAGGAAGAGAAAACAACACUUUGCUUAUCUUCCCUAUGCUCUAUAGCACCAAAUAAAACCAGAGACCAAACCACCUGCUUGUCCGUUCCUAUUCUGAGGAUCAAACCUGCAUUUCCUCUGUGUGGUUGAAAGUACUGCUUUAGUGGGAUGAAGUGCCAGCAGCACGCAGCUGAAUCUGCUGACACCGGUGUUUGGACUGGACCAAAGCAUGGCGGGACUGGCUGGCUCUUUUGGAACCUAAGCCAGUGGGUAUGUGCUCAGGAGUUGCACCAAGAGUUCAUGGAGUCUAAGAUGUUUGUGCACACCACAGGGAGAAGUGUUCACUUGCUUGUUGAUUCACUGCUGGUUGUGUUCCCUGGCUGCAAUCAGAGCACAGUUUCCCCUUCAGAAGUUUAGAAUCGUGGAGAAGAUGAGAUGUGAGCUUUGGCUGCCCUGGGCAGAUUCUCCUGUGAGCCUGUGGAUUUAGUUUCUACAGAGCUCAGCCACCUGCACCAGUCAGUGAUGGGGCCUUCUCAAAGAAAUGGUUCUAAAUUUACCCAGUGUUGAGUUAGCAUACUCCAAGAGGAACCCACCAGUUACAGAGGGCUGCAUAUUACUGGUCCAGAAGCAAUUUCAGUGUCAAAACUGCUCCAGGAACAAGGUACACCUGGGAAUGGUUGAGCAAAAUGAUAGUCACAACUGCCACCUCUCAUGAUGUUCCACUUGUUUACUUGUUAUUAGUGAGUAGCACGUGGCCUGCAGGAGUCCACAGGCAACCACUUCCAAAUCCCUAGACAUGCUGCAUUGCACAGCUCUUGCUCUUCUUUUAUUUUUUUCUUUCCAAACAAGGUUUUUUUAGCUUUUGACAUUUUAGGAGAAAUUUAGAAAAGAAAAAACGGACAGAGAUCUAUUCUGAUUUAUGACAAAAUAAAGAUAAACUUCUGCAAGAAGUAAGCAAUCAAAAACUAGCUACAGUUGUAAUAACCAGAACUUUAUGUAUUUGUGCCCAUAAAGAGAUAACAGAGUGGCAUUGUCUAUCUAUGAGCAGAAAACAGUGGUUUUCUAAGCUUAAUCUCAUAAUUAUGCACUUUCCAUGUGAGUUAAUAAUUGUAUCUCAUUUCCACCCUAAAGAUGAUGGUCUUGGUGGAUAGCGCUGCUCACUAUGUUCAUUUGCUGAGUGUUGGUUAGUUAUUACUCAUGAGGAUGUUGUUCCAAAGGAGCUAAGGUCUGGCUGUGGCUAAAGGAGAUGUACUCGAAGUGGUAAUCAACCUUUUAAUGCCAGUGGUAAAAAUGCCACGUGAAGGCAUGCAACUCCUUGAGGACUACAUGACUCUCCAUACUGCCUUGGCGCUGUGUGGACACCAUUGGUACUCACAGUGCACCCCAGAUCUUACCUACACUCUGCUCUGUAUCAGGACUCAUUUUGAUCUCAUUUCAGAGGUGAAUAUACUGUGGGACUGUAAAGAGCUGUGCUGGAUCAGAAAUGGAAAACAUAACCAUAGCCAGCAGCAGCUGGAUACAAGAAUUUCAGCUGGAUGUUGCACAAAAAGUUGUACUCUUAGGUUUGUGGUAGAAGAGUUCUCCAAGGUGUAGGAUGACCUCAGAAAUGUUCUUAUUCUUGCGCAGCUUUUGUUUGCUUGUUAUCUCUGAAAAGAGGGAAAUAAGAAUUUCCAGAUUUGUUUUUUUUUUUUUUUUUCUGCAAAAACAAAAUGUCACAGUGCCCUUUUUAGAAGAUACAUUCCUGACUUCCUUGUUACUCAAAACGAGAUCAACCUGUGUGGCCUUGAGUGGACUAGGAGACGGGCAUAUUUUUUAUUGCCGAUUCCAACUCAUAAAUUCUUAACUUGCUUAGAAUUUGCCAGAUUAAAUGAAAAGAUUCUGUAAUUAGGGAUUUAUUAAAACAUGGAUCCUUGACCUGAUAGAAUAUAAUAACUCAUUUGUUUCAAAUAAGACCUAUUUAAUUGUUCCAUCGCUGGCCUGAACAUUUCGUGCUGAGGCUUUGAACCCUCUCCAUUCUGCGCAGUCCCGCAUGUUCUCCAAAUCCACUUGCAAAAAGCAAAAUGCUCUGUGAAAUUCUUGAUCCCCAAGCCACUAUGCAGGCAGAAGCCCCUAAAACAAAAAUGUGUCAUUGUAAUUAAAAAUUAAAGUCCUGAAAGCCCUUAUUAUUCAACGCUACAAAGCAAAGACUAUGGAAAUACUAUUUUUAUGCAUGCGGCUCUGUUUUAAUUUUUUUUUUUUUUUUUGUGAGCAACCCUCCUUCUCCAUAUCUUUAAAAACAAUAGUUAUUGAUUUACAAUCAUAUAAAUAAGGCUGUAAAAUCUUGUAACACAGAGCUAUAAAUAGAUAUUUGAAAAAAAUAUGAAAAUUGCUCCCAAGUCAAGUCCAUAUAUGGCACUAGUCAGCAGAGAGCCAUUUUACGGAGACAUAUAAACUGCAGAAAAUAAUUUCUAUUGAAAAUGCAAAGAAAUCUGAAACUAAGCACUGCCACAAACAAUGCAGCCAUAAUUAAGGAAUUACCCACUCCUUCUCCUCAUCUUUGAAAUAAGCCUUCUCCUUUAUUUAAUUGGUUAGAUACAGAAAGCGUAUUACUAUAUUUGGGUCCUGUUUCCCUAGUAUAAGAAUAGUCCUACAAGGAAUUCCCAGUUAGAGUGAGGCAGUUCUACAACAUAUUAAAAAAAAAUACCACAGGAAAGUGUUAUCCAAUGGGCAGAUGUUAACUUAAAGUGCACAUUGUUUGGAAAAGGAGUUAAUUAACAACUUAUUAAUUGGAUAGAAAGUCUGAAACUGUUGUACUUCUAGCAAAUACAUAAUUUUCUUCAAGUAUUAUUAAAGCGUUUUUGUUGUACCUAUUAAAGAUUCUUGUCUCUAAGUUAAUUUCAUUAUGCUAAUAAGCUAUCAUCGUUACAGAACCUAAGCUUUGAUCCAUGUUAAUUGUCGUGAUCUUCAAAGACAAAGUCACCACUUACUUUAAAUGAAUUUUACAUCUUUUUAAAGAAUCACACGGAAAUUAGGGGAAGUAAUUAAUUUUUUAUUAUGUGUCUCAAUAUUUUUAAGGGAGGAAGUCAAUGGUAUUGGCUAGAAUUCAUUUUAACAUUUAACUAGGGAAAACAGCAUGAGGCAAAAAAACGUUCAGAUGCAAAAGAUUAAAGAAAAUUUGAAACUGGGACCUAAUUUGUCUUGAUAAACUUUGGUGUUUAAUAUGCUUCUUUUGUUCUCUGUGUGAAACUGCAGGGUUUUGAUUUGUAAAAACUUUUUGAAGAAUUAAUUCUGUCUAAUUUUUAUUCCUUUCUUUGCUUUCCUUUCACUGUAAGACAGAGGAGAUGACCUUCAAACCAUAACACUUUAAAUAUCUAUGAAUAUACAAGGUUAAAUCUACUAGAGGUCUGAGAUUAGCUGCUAUAUACUUGCAAAAUAUGUACCUUUUGCAGCAAUUUUUAUCUUUUAAUGAAUGAUAACAAGCUCACAUCAACCCUACAAGUUUUUAAAAUAUAAUGGAAUAUGUGUAGCAAGUGAUCUAUUCCUCUUUCCUAUAAGUGUUGGUUACUUUAACCCUCUGAUGCUUUUCAAGGCUCAGUUCUGUAUCAACAGGGUAUUUUUUGGAUUUGGGAUCAGGACCUAAUGUCAGUAUUAUCAGCCAACCUAUGACUGCCAAUUUAUAGUUUACCCAAAUUCUCCCUUAUCUUUUCCAGAUUUUUCUCUUGUUUCGAUUCAAGAUGAACAUCUUCUAAAUAUGAUUUUUCUUUUAAAGGAAGUUUCCUGUCUGUUUUCCAACAUUUAAAAUCUCACUGAAAUGGAAGUCCUGGAGUACGAGCAUCCUUUCGUAUUUGCAGUGAAAAACAGAGCCUUUUUAUAUGGCAGUGGACAAAAGUAUAUUAAGGAUAGAGGAAGUGAUUGAAAUCAAAAGCCAGAUUACUAACUUCAUUCUCUCUAGUUAGCAGCACGCAAGUACUGUAAAUGCAAGUAAACAUCAAGUUUCAACUGAGCCUGGAUGGUCGGAUUUCUGCAGCAGACAGGUGGUGAGCUCAUCGCGAGGAUUUUUCAGCAUUAAUGUUGUACUCAUUUAGACUAACACCAGGCUUGAGUGACCCUCAUCUGGAUUUAACCUAUGACCUGUCAAUCCAGAGACAUGCUCUCAGACCUCAACAGUUUUGCUUUUCCGUGUUUUUUAUUUCUUUUUUUAAGCAUAGAUGACUUUAAUCAUUAAGCAGCUUUCAUAAGCAGAACAUAUACAAGCGCUACUCGGUGCUCUUUGAUUUGUAAUCUAGGUUUUUGCCCAUUUAAUCCCCAGUGUCUAAGUGAAUUCCGCUGAAGUUCAGAAUUCUUUGAUUGAGCACGUAGUGAUUGGGUAAAGGAUUGCAUUGCUUCUCUGUCUGCUUUUACACUUUCUGUGACAGAGCUUUUUUGUGCAAAAACGUCCACUGCGCGGUAUCGUUUAUUUUUUCCCUUUUGUCUGCUUGUCUAUUAUCUGGUUGUUCCUUUUGCUCCUUUUUAUUAUAGUAUUUGGCUACUGGUUUCAUGCCCAAAGGAGAAAUUUCCGAUGAAGCAAGAUUUGAUUUGGUUUUGAUUUUUUUUUUUUUCCUGAUGCUAAUUUUAGAUACGUUUUGAUGUAGAACAUUUGUUCUUUAAUAUUGAUGACCUUUUUCAAAAGCACAGGUUAUUCCAGACCCUGGGUAUGACAUAAAGGGUCAAGCUGUCCUGUUGUACAGAGAAGCCAGAGCCACCUCAACGCUUUGUGAAAUCCCAAAGUGCCCUCCCUUGCCUGAACAAUUUGAAGACUGGUUUCUGUCCUAACUUGGUCUGAAUCUGCCUUUGGUGCUGCUGUGGAAAUAGGAGGCCAUGGUUUAUUUGCUCUGCUCUUUUGAGGGUUGCUCAGGGCAAUGCAAUCCAAAAGAUGCUGUGGCACCAAGGCACAUGUUCCCAGCCCAGUCAUAGCACUUAUCUCUAUAAUGGAGUGGUAAAGCCUUCUAACAUGCAGUUCACAGAAAUGGAUUGUACCAAGAGCAUCUAUAAAAGCCACAGCAUCCAUUUGAAAAGAGCAUAAUGUCACCAU